Molecule: ribosomal RNA, 479 nt
Filed under: uncultured bacterium
Lineage: Bacteria
Description: partial 16S ribosomal RNA
Rfam family: Bacterial small subunit ribosomal RNA
Source: RNAcentral
GAUGAACGCUAGCGGGAGGCCUAACACAUGCAAGCCGAGCGGUAUUUGUCCUUCGGGACAGAUAGAGCGGCGUACGGGUGCGGAACACGUGUGCAACCUGCCUUUAUCUGGGGGAUAGCCUUUCGAAAGGAAGAUUAAUACCCCAUAAUAUAUCGAAUGGCAUCAUUCGAUAUUGAAAACUCCGGUGGAUAGAGAUGGGCACGCGCAAGAUUAGAUAGUUGGUGAGGUAACGGCUCACCAAGUCAGUGAUCUUUAGGGGGGCUGAGAGGGUGAUCCCCCACACUGGUACUGAGACACGGACCAGACGCCGACGGGAGGCAGCAGUGAGGAAUAUUGGACAAUGAGUGAGAGCCUGAUCCAGCCAUCCCGCGUGAAGGACUAAGGCCCUAUGGGUUGUAAACUUCUUUUAUACUGGGAUAAACCUACUUACGUGUAAGUAGCUGAAGGUACAGUAUGAAUAAGCACCGGCUAACUACGUG